This 1055-nucleotide ribosomal RNA is filed under the name uncultured bacterium. Its description in RNAcentral is "bacterial SSU rRNA". It matches the Rfam family "Bacterial small subunit ribosomal RNA", at positions 8 to 1067 of the family's 1533-position model. The record is from RNAcentral.
AGAGUUUGAUCAUGGCUCAGGCGAACGCUGGCGGUGUGCUUCACACAUGCAAGUCGAACGAGUGACUGCUUUGUAGCAAUACAAAGUAGAAGCUAGUGGCGGACGGGUGAGUAACGCGUAGGAAUCUGCCUUUGAGUGGGGGAUAGCAGACCGAAAGGUCUAUUAAUACCGCAUACGUAUAUACUUCGACAGUUGUAUAUAUAAAAAGAGCAAUCUGCUCAUAGAUGAGCCUGCGUCCGAUUAGCUAGUUGGUAGUGUAAUGGACUACCAAGGCGACGAUCGGUAGGUGGUCUGAGAGGAUGAUCACCCACAAUGGAACUGAGACACGGUCCAUACUCCUACGGGAGGCAGCAGUGGGGAAUUUUGUGCAAUGGGGGAAACCCUGACACAGCGACACCGCGUGAGCGAAGAAGCCCUUCGGGGUGUAAAGCUCUGUCGGCUGGGACGAAAAAAAUGACGGUACCAGCAAAGGAAGCAUCGGCUAACUACGUGCCAGCAGCCGCGGUAAGACGUAGGAUGCAAGCGUUGUCCGGAUUUAUUGGGCGUAAAGAGUUCGUAGGUGGUUUGUUAAGUCUGAUGUUAAAGACUGAGGCUCAACCUCGGGAGUGCAUUGGAUACUGGCAGACUAGAGUAUGGUAGAGGCAAGCGGAAUUCCCAGUGUAGCGGUGAAAUGCGUAGAUAUUGGGAUGAACACCGGUGGCGUAGGCGGCUUGCUGGGCCAUAACUGACACUGAGGAACGAAAGCCAGGGGAGCGAAUGGGAUUAGAUACCCCAGUAGUCCUGGCUGUAAACGAUGGAUACUAGGCGUAUCGGGUAUCGACCCCUGAUGUGCCGCAGCUAACGCGAUAAGUAUCCCGCCUGAGUAGUACGGCCGCAAGGUUGAAACUCAAAGGAAUUGACGGGGGCCCGCACAAGCGGUGGAACAUGUGGUUCAAUUCGAAGCAACGCGAAGAACCUUACCAGGGCUUGACAUCUGUAGAACCUUUCGGAAACGAGAGGGUGCUCGCAAGAGAGCUACAAGACAGGUGGUGCAUGGCUGUCGUCAGCUCGUGUCG